GGGGUUGUGGCUUAGUGGUAGAGCGCUCACCUAGAAUGUGUGAGGCACUGGAUUGGAUCCUGAGCACCCCA
This is a non-coding RNA of Ictidomys tridecemlineatus (thirteen-lined ground squirrel), 71 nucleotides long. Lineage: Eukaryota; Metazoa; Chordata; Mammalia; Rodentia; Sciuridae. The record is from Rfam.